GACGAACGCUGGCGGCGUGCCUAAUACAUGCAAGUAGAACGCUGAAGGAGGAGCUUGCUUCUCUGGAUGAGUUGCGAACGGGUGAGUAACGCGUAGGUAACCUGCCUGGUAGCGGGGGAUAACUAUUGGAAACGAUAGCUAAUACCGCAUAAUAGUAGAUGUUGCAUGACAUUUGCUUAAAAGGUGCAAUUGCAUCACUACCAGAUGGACCUGCGUUGUAUUAGCUAGUUGGUGGGGUAACGGCUCACCAAGGCGACGAUACAUAGCCGACCUGAGAGGGGGAGCGGCCACACUGGGACUGAGACACGGCCCAGACUCCUACGGGAGGCAGCAGUAGGGAAUCUUCGGAAAUGGACGGAAGUCGGACCGAGCAACGCCGCGUGAGUGAAGAAGGUUUUCGGAUCGUAAAGCUCUGUUGUAAGAGAAGAACGAGUGUGAGAGUGGAAAGUUCACACUGUGACGGUAUCUUACCAGAAAGGGACGGCUAACUACGUG
This 495-nucleotide ribosomal RNA is filed under the name uncultured bacterium. RNAcentral describes it as "partial 16S ribosomal RNA". It matches the Rfam family "Bacterial small subunit ribosomal RNA", at positions 28 to 507 of the family's 1533-position model. The record is from RNAcentral.